GUUGUACGUUAUAUUUUGAAUAUUUAAAAAUACUAGACUUGCUAUAUCUCGGCCGCGCGCCGCGAGCCGUGAGCCGUUGACGGGUGACGGAAACCGGUUCGGCGAACUAUCCCUCCUAUGAGGCGACGCGAGCAGAGCCGGCGGUCAAUCGCGAGACGGUCACGAGCACGACGCCGCGAGCCGAUACAGUCUACUACUACUACUGGUCUAUGUACAUUUUUAACUCGCGAUUUUUAUUGCAAAUAAAUUAACCUUUAAUAAACUAUUGUGCUUUUAAAAUAACUUUUAAAGUCAGUGUAUACCCCAGAUCGGGGUUCAAGUACCUGACUACCUCCAGUGCACCUACCGUAGUGCACCUACCCUAAGUGCACCUACCUACGCGCUUGUCUACCUACGUGCCUGUGUCUACCUACGUGCCUGUGUCUACCUACGUGCCUGUGCCUACCUACGUGCCGCGCCUAUCUACGUGUCCUGCAUCUACCUGCGCGUCCGGCAUCUACUAGCGCGCUGCACACGUACCCCGCCUGACCGCUGCCGAGCUGCCUGACUAUACAGGGUAGUAGUGUUCUAUGGCGGGCUAGAGCUUAACGCGUGCUCGAAUAUUCUAAACUCACUCCCGGCUCUGCCGAUCCUUUUGUAGAAUAUACUUAUAUACUAAUUUUCUAAAUUACUCUUUUUAUUUCCUCACCUAGUAGACUACCUACCACUAAACCUACACGUUACAGUGGCGCCCAAUAAAGGUAGAAUAUAUCGAGCCGUGUUUAGUUCUUGUUUGCUAAGCAUUUUGUAGUUGUCCUGGUGUUGGUUGUCUGUCAGUUGUGUUGAAUUUAAUCACAGCCUACCAAAUGUGAAUCUACCCACAUCUUUUUAAUAAUUUUUUUUCUCUCUAAUAUUUAAAUUUAACCGUCCAUUUUUACUUGACCUACCGUCAAUAUUUUUCUACCCCCAAAUUUUAUUUUUUUUCUUCACAUUUAAAUUCAAAGUUUACAUACCUUAAAUAUAUUUUCACAUAUGGUUAGACUGACCACAAACGUGCUGAUUUUGCAUCCGAAUUGUUUUGUCUUUAUUAUUUUUGUCUUUAUUUUGCAACACACUCCUUCUCUGCGGUUUUAAUUUUUAUCAUGUCUUACCCUAUUAAGUUUUUAUCGCUACAAAAAGCUGAACUAGACUAUGAAGUUACCGUUCGUGGUGGUACUGGGGGAGAUUCGGUUAGCGAACUUCGGAAACAGAUAGUUAAAUUACCUCCUAUAUUACAAAUAACAAACUUAUAAUUUUAAUCGUAUCUAUUCCAAACAUUAAAAUCACCACACUAAACCUAAAAUUACUUCUAAUAGAACCCUACAAGAAAGUCACAAUUUAUACACUAAUGAAAUGAACUAUUAAUAUAAAUAAACUAUUAAAUUGAUUAACUAUAAAGAAUAACUUAAACUAAUUUUAUCAGAAUGUUACUACGGCUAGGUAAAAUAAUUAAAAUUGUUAAUACUUAAACUUCGUUGAUUAUGGCUAAAUAUAUUUAAUUUUAAACAAAUUUUAAAAAUCAACUAAAACUAAAUGCACUACAUGUAACUAAAACAAAUACAUAAUAUAAACUAAAUAAAAUAAUAUAAACUAAAAAACUAAACUUAAUAACGUAAACUACACCCACUUACUACUACUACCCAUAACUAUUGCUUUUCUAUUUUCACCUAUUGGUCUACCCCAAUAGUUUAUAUGAUGAUGGUCUACCCCAUACAUCAUAUUCCUACCAUAUUAAAUAUAUUAUGACUAUCGGCCCUACACCGAUGGUUAUAAACGAAACUUGAUCGUGGUUCUACCCCAUAGAUCCCUUCUGUAUGCUAAAGGCCCUACACCUUUGGUAUUCUACGGAGCGGUGCAACUCCUUAAAUAAGCCUUUGCAAGAGCGGUUGAUUACUCUAUAAGUAAGCCUUAAAAUCACAAACAUAACUUAUGUAUUUAUCCUUUCUAAUAUUCAAUCUAUCAAUAAUAGUUAUGUGUAGUUAGUAAUCGCUCGAUUUCAACUUUAUCCUCUACCAGCCAUGACUGAACUGGGUGAGUGUUCUGUGCACUGUAAGCGGAAUACUCAGGUCGAAAGGACGCUGACGCACAGAUGUCUAGUGUGAUGUCGGCUAUUUAAUGUAAGGAAAAAUGGAAGGUGAGGGAUGAUUACAUUAUGAAUGAAGACGAAUGAAAGAGAAACUCAGAUCAGUUGUUAGCAAGAGCGAAAGCAGCGGAUUUUUCCUAGGAAAAAUCCUACGCUAAAAAGAGGGGUACUGUAACGUUGUACGUUAUAUUUUGAAUAUUUAAAAAUACUAGACUUGCUAUAUCUCGGCCGCGCGCCGCGAGCCGUGAGCCGUUGACGGGUGACGGAAACCGGUUCGGCGAACUAUCCCUCCUAUGAGGCGACGCGAGCAGAGCCGGCGGUCAAUCGCGAGACGGUCACGAGCACGACGCCGCGAGCCGAUACAGUCUACUACUACUACUGGUCUAUGUACAUUUUUAACUCGCGAUUUUUAUUGCAAAUAAAUUAACCUUUAAUAAACUAUUGUGCUUUUAAAAUAACUUUUAAAGUCAGUGUAUACCCCAGAUCGGGGUUCAAGUACCUGACUACCUCCAGUGCACCUACCGUAGUGCACCUACCCUAAGUGCACCUACCUACGCGCUUGUCUACCUACGUGCCUGUGUCUACCUACGUGCCUGUGUCUACCUACGUGCCUGUGCCUACCUACGUGCCGCGCCUAUCUACGUGUCCUGCAUCUACCUGCGCGUCCGGCAUCUACUAGCGCGCUGCACACGUACCCCGCCUGACCGCUGCCGAGCUGCCUGACUAUACAGGGUAGUAGUGUUCUAUGGCGGGCUAGAGCUUAACGCGUGCUCGAAUAUUCUAAACUCACUCCCGGCUCUGCCGAUCCUUUUGUAGAAUAUACUUAUAUACUAAUUUUCUAAA
This 2944-nucleotide long non-coding RNA is filed under the name Helicoverpa zea (corn earworm). RNAcentral describes it as "uncharacterized LOC124642433". The record is from RNAcentral. Lineage: Eukaryota; Metazoa; Arthropoda; Insecta; Lepidoptera; Noctuidae.